RNAcentral lists this ribosomal RNA (467 nucleotides) under uncultured microorganism. RNAcentral's name for it is "bacterial SSU rRNA". It matches the Rfam family "Bacterial small subunit ribosomal RNA", at positions 9 to 461 of the family's 1533-position model. The record is from RNAcentral.
GAGUUUGAUCAUGGCUCAGGAUGAACGCUGGCGGCGUGCCUAACACAUGCAAGUCGAACGGAGUUUAUGAGGAAGAAGCUUCGGCGGAAUUCUUAUAAACUUAGUGGCGGACGGGUGAGUAACACGUGGAGAACCUGCCUCUUACCGGGGGACAGCAGUUGGAAACGACUGAUAAUACCGCAUAAGCGCACGAGACCGCAUGGUCCUGUGUGAAAAGAUUUAUCGGUAAGAGAUGGCUCCGCGUCUGAUUAGCCAGUUGGCGGGGUAACGGCCCACCAAAGCGACGAUCAGUAGCCGGCCUGAGAGGGUGAACGGCCACAUUGGGACUGAGACACGGCCCAGACUCCUACGGGAGGCAGCAGUGGGGAUAUUGCACAAUGGAGGAAACUCUGAUGCAGCGACGCCGCGUGAGUGAAGAAGUAUUCGGUAUGUAAAGCUCUAUCAGCAGGGAAGAAAGACCUACGAAA